RNAcentral lists this ribosomal RNA (498 nucleotides) under uncultured bacterium. RNAcentral describes it as "partial 16S ribosomal RNA". It matches the Rfam family "Bacterial small subunit ribosomal RNA", at positions 29 to 507 of the family's 1533-position model. The record is from RNAcentral.
ACGAACGCUGGCGGCGUGCCUAAUACAUGCAAGUCGCGCGGACUUUCAAGAAGCUUGCUUUUUGAAAGUUAGCGGCGGACGGGUGAGUAACACGUGGGCAACCUGCCUGCAAGACGGGGAUAACUCCGGGAAACCGGGGCUAAUACCGGAUAAUAUCUUCCUUCGCAUGAAGGAAGGUUGAAAGGCGGCGCAAGCUGCCGCUUGCAGAUGGGCCCGCGGCGCAUUAGCUAGUUGGUGAGGUAACGGCUCACCAAGGCGACGAUGCGUAGCCGACCUGAGAGGGUGAUCGGCCACACUGGGACUGAGACACGGCCCAGACUCCUACAGGAGGCAGCAGUAGGGAAUCUUCCGCAAUGGACGAAAGUCUGACGGAGCAACGCCGCGUGAGCGAAGAAGGUCUUCGGAUCGUAAAGCUCUGUUGUCAGGGAAGAACAAGUACCGUUCGAACAGGGCGGUACCUUGACGGUGCCUGACCAGAAAGCCACGGCUAACUACGUG